RNAcentral lists this ribosomal RNA (440 nucleotides) under uncultured bacterium. RNAcentral describes it as "partial 16S ribosomal RNA". It matches the Rfam family "Bacterial small subunit ribosomal RNA", at positions 338 to 795 of the family's 1533-position model. The record is from RNAcentral.
CCUACGGGUGGCAGCAGUGGGGAAUAUUGCACAAUGGGCGAAAGCCUGAUGCAGCGACGCCGCGUGAGUGAAGAAGGAUUUCGGGAUGUAAAGCUCUAUCAGCAGGGAAGAAAAUGACGGUACCUGAAGAAGAAGCCCCGGCUAACGACGGGCCAGCAGCCGCGGAAAUACGUAGGGGGCAAGCGUUAACCGGAUUUACUGGGUGUAAAGGGAGCGUAGACGGCGAAGCAAGUCUGAAGUGAAAACCCAGGGCUCAACCCUUGGACUGCUUUGGAAACUGUUUUGCUAGAGUGUCGGAGAGGUAAGUGGAAUUCCUAGUGUAGCGGUGAAAUGCGUAGAUAUUAGGAGGAACACCAGUGGCGAAGGCGGCUUACUGGACGAUAACUGACGUUGCGGCUCGACAGCGUGGGGAGCAAACAGGAUUAGAUACCCGGGUAGUC